This 91-nucleotide transfer RNA is filed under the name Ursus americanus (American black bear). It matches the Rfam family "tRNA". Rfam says of the family: Transfer RNA (tRNA) molecules are approximately 80 nucleotides in length. Lineage: Eukaryota; Metazoa; Chordata; Mammalia; Carnivora; Ursidae. The record is from Rfam by way of RNAcentral. RNAcentral also lists the same sequence under 2 other names.
GCCUGGGUGGCUUAGUUGGUUAAGUGUUUGACUCUUGAUUCCCUCUCAGGUCAUGAUCUCAGGGUUGUGAGAUCAAGCCCCACCUCAGGCU